RNAcentral lists this ribosomal RNA (437 nucleotides) under uncultured bacterium. RNAcentral describes it as "partial 16S ribosomal RNA". The stretch from base 118 to 437 matches the Rfam family "Bacterial small subunit ribosomal RNA", at positions 39 to 507 of the family's 1533-position model. The record is from RNAcentral.
GGGGGGGGGGGGGGGGGGGGGGGGGGGGGGGGGGGGGGGGGGGGGGGGGUGGGUGGGGUGGGGGGGGGGGGGGUGGGGCGGGGGGAGGGGGGGUGGGGAGGGGAGGAUGAGGUGGGAGCGGUGGGUAGUAGGGCGUAGGCUGAGGGGCGGAAGGCGGAAUCCGCCCUCGGAGGGGCUUGCGUCUGAUUAGCUAGAUGGUGAGGUAUAAGCUUACCAGGGCGAUGAUCAGUAGCUGAUCCGGGGUGAUGAUCAGCCACACUGGGACUGAGACACGGACGAGACUCCUACGGGAGGCAGAAGUGGGGAAUGUUCCGCAAUGGGCGAAAGCCUGACGGAGCAAUGCCGCGUGGAGGUAGAAGGCCCACGGGUCGUGAACGUCUUUUCUCGGAGAAGAAACAAUGACGGUAUCUGAGGAAUAAGCAUCGGCUAACUCUGUG